This 253-nucleotide ribosomal RNA is filed under the name uncultured bacterium. RNAcentral describes it as "partial 16S ribosomal RNA". It matches the Rfam family "Bacterial small subunit ribosomal RNA", at positions 524 to 776 of the family's 1533-position model. The record is from RNAcentral.
UACGGAGGGGGCUAGCGUUGUUCGGAAUUACUGGGCGUAAAGCGCGCGUAGGCGGCUUUGUAAGUUAGAGGUGAAAGCCCGGAGCUCAACUCCGGAACUGCCUUUAAGACUGCAUCGCUAGAACGUCGGAGGGGUAAGUGGAAUUCCGAGUGUAGAGGUGAAAUUCGUAGAUAUUCGGAAGAACACCAGUGGCGAAGGCGACUUACUGGACGACUGUUGACGCUGAGGUGCGAAAGCGUGGGGAGCAAACAGG